Molecule: long non-coding RNA, 848 nt
Filed under: Apteryx haastii (Great spotted kiwi)
Lineage: Eukaryota; Metazoa; Chordata; Aves; Apterygiformes; Apterygidae
Description: lncRNA (ENSAHAG00000009211.1)
Source: RNAcentral
GGCUUUGCACAAGCUCGCACGGGCCUCUACAGGCUCGCAGAGGCCUGCUACGGGCUUGUGUGGGCUCGCACGGGCGCGCACGGGCUCGCAAAAGUUCGCACGGGCCUCUACGGGCUCGCACAAGCUCGCACGGGCCUCUACGGGCUCGCAGAGGCCUCCUACGGGCUCCUACGGGUUCGCACGGGCGCGCACGGGCCUCUACGGGCUCUCAGAGGCCUCCUACGGGCUUGUACGGGCUCGUGCGGGCUCGCACGGGCUCGCACGGGCGCGCACGGGCGCGCACAUGCCCGCACGGGCCUCUACGGCCUCGCAGAGGCCUCCUACGGGCUCGUAUGGGCUCGCACGGGCGCGCACGGGCUCGCACAAUCUCGCACAGGCCUCUACGGGCUCGCAGAGGCCUCCUACGGGUUCGUAUGGACUCGCACGGGCGCGCAUGGGCUGACACGGGCUCGCACAAGCUCGCACGGGCCUCUACGGCCUCGCAGAGGCCUCCUAUGGGCUCGUAUGGGCUCACAUGGGCACGUGCGGGCUCGCACAAGCUCGCACGGGCCUCUACGGGCUCGCAGAGGCCUCCUACGGGCUCGUAUGGGCUCGCACGGGCUGACACAGGCUUGCAAAAGCUCGCACGGGCCUCUACGGGCUCGCAGAGGCCUCCUACGGGCUCCUACGGGCUCAUGCGGGCUCGUACGGGCUGACACGAGCUCGCCCAAGCUCACACGGGCCUCUACGGGCUCGCAGAGGCCUCCUACGGGCUCGUACGGGCUCGCACGGGCUCGCACGGGCGCGCACAGAAUGACAAGGGCUCGCUCAAGCUCGCACGUGCCUCUACGGCCUCGCAGAGGCCUCCU